CCUACGGGCGGCAGCAGUGGGGAAUUUUGCGCAAUGGGGGCAACCCUGACGCAGCAACGCCGCGUGAGUGAUGAAGGCCUUCGGGUCGUAAAGCUCUGUCAGAGGGGAAGAAAUGCAGGUGGUGAACAACCAUUCUGUUUGACGGUACCCUCAAAGGAAGCACCGGCUAACUCCGUGCCAGCAGCCGCGGUAAUACGGAGGGUGCGAGCGUUGUUCGGAAUUAUUGGGCGUAAAGCGCGUGUAGGCGGUUUGUUAAGUCGGAGGUGAAAGCCCCGGGCUAAACCGGGGAAGGGCAGUGGAUACUGGCAGACUGGAGUACGGGAGAGGAGAGGGGAAUCCCCAGUGUAGGGGUAAAAUCCGUAGAUAUUGGGAGGAACACCGGGGGCGAAGGCGGCUCUCGGGACCGAUACUGACGCGGAGGCGCGAAAGCGGGGGGAGCAAACAGGAUUAGAUCCCCUGGUAGU
Molecule: ribosomal RNA, 464 nt
Filed under: uncultured Geobacteraceae bacterium
Lineage: Bacteria; Pseudomonadati; Thermodesulfobacteriota; Desulfuromonadia; Geobacterales; Geobacteraceae
Description: partial 16S ribosomal RNA
Rfam family: Bacterial small subunit ribosomal RNA
Source: RNAcentral